Molecule: ribosomal RNA, 197 nt
Filed under: uncultured bacterium
Lineage: Bacteria
Description: partial 16S ribosomal RNA
Rfam family: Bacterial small subunit ribosomal RNA
Source: RNAcentral
ACGCUCGACACCUACGGGAGCAGCAGUGGGGAAUAUUGCACAAUGGGGGAAACCCUGAUGCAGCGACGCCGCGUGAGUGAAGAAGUAUUUCGGUAUGUAAAGCUCUAUCAGCAGGGAANAAAAUGACGGUACCUGAGUAAGAAGCCCCGGCUAACUACGUGCCAGUAGCCGCGGUAAUCUGAGCGGGCUGGCAAGGC